Unclassified non-coding RNA from Ursus americanus (American black bear), 153 nucleotides. The record is from Ensembl. Lineage: Eukaryota; Metazoa; Chordata; Mammalia; Carnivora; Ursidae.
GAGAGUAAGCAGAGAUCUUUGCGGUCACUGCUCUCUUGCCAGCAGGACACACGGUGAACACCAUUCCUUUCAGAGACAGUGGUAUAAAUUCUUGCUUGGGGGUUGCAGAAAGAGUCUCACUGGUAAGGGAGAGGAGCAGCUGGUAACCCAGAG